RNAcentral lists this ribosomal RNA (486 nucleotides) under uncultured bacterium. RNAcentral describes it as "partial 16S ribosomal RNA". It matches the Rfam family "Bacterial small subunit ribosomal RNA", at positions 28 to 507 of the family's 1533-position model. The record is from RNAcentral.
GAUGAACGCUAGCGGCAGGCUUAACACAUGCAAGUCGAGGGGCAGCGCGGGAUAGCAAUAUCCUGGCGGCGACCGGCGGAAGGGUGCGUAACGCGUGAGCGACAUGCCCGUUGCCCGGGGACAACCGGUGGAAACGCCGACUAAUCCCCGAUGGGAUAUUGUGCCGCAUGGCACGAUAUUGAAAGUUACGGCGGCGACGGAUUGGCUCGCGUCCGAUUAGCUUGUUGGCGGGGUAACGGCCCACCAAGGCUGCGAUCGGUAGGGGUUCUGAGAGGAAGGCCCCCCACAAUGGGACUGAGACACGGCCCAUACUCCUACGGGAGGCAGCAGUGAGGAAUAUUGGUCAAUGGGCGGAAGCCUGAACCAGCCAUGCCGCGUGCGGGAAGGAGGCCCUAUGGGCUGUGAACCGCUUUUGCCUGGGGGCAAUAAGGGCGUCGCGCAUGUCCGAUGAGAGUACCAGGCGAAUAAGCAUCGGCUAACUCCGUG